CUAUUUAAAUAAAUAAAAAAAUAAUGAACUGAAACAUCUAAGUAGUUAUUUAAUAAAUUAACCAAGAGCUCUCUAGUAGUGGUGAGCGAAAAAGAGUCAGAUUUUAUAUAUAUGAUUAAUAAAUCUUUAAUAAAUGCGGAAUCAUUAGCCAUAGAAGGUGAUAGCCCUGUAAAACAAUAUUAAUUAUAUAUUUAAUAAAGUAGAACGAAAUAAGAUAAUUUUGUUUGAAUUUUAUUGGAGGACCACCUUCAAAAUCUAAAAUGUUCAAUAAUCGAUAGCGCACAAGUACUGCGAAGGAAAGAUGAAAAGAAACUAAACCGUGUUGAAAUAAUUUUUGAAAUUGAACACUUAAAAUCAAUCAAAGUUUUUAUAUAAGAAUAAUGAUGUACCUUUUGUAUAAUGGGUCAGUGAGUUAAUUGAUUUAGCAAGCUUAAAUUGUAAAAUG
This 445-nucleotide ribosomal RNA is filed under the name uncultured bacterium. RNAcentral's name for it is "bacterial LSU rRNA". It matches the Rfam family "Bacterial large subunit ribosomal RNA", at positions 148 to 662 of the family's 2925-position model. The record is from RNAcentral.